RNAcentral lists this transfer RNA (77 nucleotides) under Rubrivivax sp. RNAcentral's name for it is "tRNA-Asp". It matches the Rfam family "tRNA". Rfam says of the family: Transfer RNA (tRNA) molecules are approximately 80 nucleotides in length. Their secondary structure includes four short double-helical elements and three loops (D, anti-codon, and T loops). Further hydrogen bonds mediate the characteristic L-shaped molecular structure. tRNAs have two regions of fundamental functional importance: the anti-codon, which is responsible for specific mRNA codon recognition, and the 3' end, to which the tRNAs corresponding amino acid is attached (by aminoacyl-tRNA synthetases). tRNAs cope with the degeneracy of the genetic code in two manners: having more than one tRNA (with a specific anti-codon) for a particular amino acid; and 'wobble' base-pairing, i.e. permitting non-standard base-pairing at the 3rd anti-codon position. RNAcentral also lists the same sequence under 1 other name. The record is from RNAcentral. Lineage: Bacteria; Pseudomonadati; Pseudomonadota; Betaproteobacteria; Burkholderiales; Sphaerotilaceae.
GGAGUGGUAGUUCAGUUGGUUAGAAUACCGGCCUGUCACGCCGGGGGUGGCGGGUUCGAGUCCCGUCCACUCCGCCA